GGGUCGGUAGUCUAGUCUGGUUAGGAUAUCUGCCUGACACGCAGAAGAUCGUCGUUAAGUGACGGGCUGAGAUCCCCUGUUCGAAUCAGGGCCGACCCA
RNAcentral lists this transfer RNA (99 nucleotides) under Candidatus Bathyarchaeota archaeon. RNAcentral's name for it is "tRNA-Val". It matches the Rfam family "tRNA". Rfam says of the family: Transfer RNA (tRNA) molecules are approximately 80 nucleotides in length. Their secondary structure includes four short double-helical elements and three loops (D, anti-codon, and T loops). Further hydrogen bonds mediate the characteristic L-shaped molecular structure. tRNAs have two regions of fundamental functional importance: the anti-codon, which is responsible for specific mRNA codon recognition, and the 3' end, to which the tRNAs corresponding amino acid is attached (by aminoacyl-tRNA synthetases). tRNAs cope with the degeneracy of the genetic code in two manners: having more than one tRNA (with a specific anti-codon) for a particular amino acid; and 'wobble' base-pairing, i.e. permitting non-standard base-pairing at the 3rd anti-codon position. Lineage: Archaea; Thermoproteati; Candidatus Bathyarchaeota. The record is from RNAcentral.